CUACGUGCCAGCAGCCGCGGUAAUACGUAGGGUGCGAGCGUUAAUCGGAAUUACUGGGCGUAAAGCGGGCGCAGACGGUUACUUAAGCAGGAUGUGAAAUCCCCGGGCUCGACCUGGGAACUGCGUUCUGAACUGGGUGACUAGAGUGUGUCAGAGGGAGGUAGAAUUCCACGUGUAGCAGUGAAAUGCGUAGAGAUGUGGAGGAAUACCGAUGGCGAAGGCAGCCUCCUGGGAUAACACUGACGUUCAUGCUCGAAAGCGUGGGUAGCAAACAGGAUUAGAUACCCUGGUAGUCCACGCCCUAAACGAUGUCAAUUAGCUGUUGGGCAACUUGAUUGCUUAGUAGCGUAGCUAACGCGUGAAAUUGACCGCCUGGGGAGUACGGUCGCAAGAUUAAAACUCAAAGGAAUUGACGGGGACCCGCACAAGCGGUGGAUGAUGUGGAUUAAUUCGAUGCAACGCGAAGAACCUUACCUGGUCUUGACAU
Molecule: ribosomal RNA, 487 nt
Filed under: uncultured bacterium
Lineage: Bacteria
Description: bacterial SSU rRNA
Rfam family: Bacterial small subunit ribosomal RNA
Source: RNAcentral